Molecule: ribosomal RNA, 1372 nt
Filed under: uncultured bacterium
Lineage: Bacteria
Description: bacterial SSU rRNA
Rfam family: Bacterial small subunit ribosomal RNA
Source: RNAcentral
GAUGAACGCUUGCGGCGUGCCUAAUACAUGCAAGUCGAGCGAACAGAUAAGGAGCUUGCUCCUUUGACGUUAGCGGCGGACGGGUGAGUAACACGUGGGUAACCUACCUAUAAGACUGGGAUAACUUCGGGAAACCGGAGCUAAUACCGGAUAAUAUUUCGAACCGCAUGGUUCGAUAGUGAAAGGUGGUUUUGCUAUCACUUAUAGAUGGACCCGCGCCGUAUUAGCUAGUUGGUAAGGUAACGGCUUACCAAGGCGACGAUACGUAGCCGACCUGAGAGGGUGAUCGGCCACACUGGAACUGAGACACGGUCCAGACUCCUACGGGAGGCAGCAGUAGGGAAUCUUCCGCAAUGGGCGAAAGCCUGACGGAGCAACGCCGCGUGAGUGAUGAAGGUCUUCGGAUCGUAAAACUCUGUUAUUAGGGAAGAACAUACGUGUAAGUAACUGUGCACGUCUUGACGGUACCUAAUCAGAAAGCCACGGCUAACUACGUGCCAGCAGCCGCGGUAAUACGUAGGUGGCAAGCGUUAUCCGGAAUUAUUGGGCGUAAAGCGCGCGUAGGCGGUUUUUUAAGUCUGAUGUGAAAGCCCACGGCUCAACCGUGGAGGGUCAUUGGAAACUGGAAAACUUGAGUGCAGAAGGGGAAAGUGGAAUUCCAUGUGUAGCGGUGAAAUGCGCAGAGAUAUGGAGGAACACCAGUGGCGAAGGCGACUUUCUGGUCUGUAACUGACGCUGAUGUGCGAAAGCGUGGGGAUCAAACAGGAUUAGAUACCCUGGUAGUCCACGCCGUAAACGAUGAGUGCUAAGUGUUAGGGGGUUUCCGCCCCUUAGUGCUGCAGCUAACGCAUUAAGCACUCCGCCUGGGGAGUACGACCGCAAGGUUGAAUCUCAAAGGAAUUGACGGGGACCCGCACAAGCGGUGGAGCAUGUGGUUUAAUUCGAAGCAACGCGAAGAACCUUACCAAAUCUUGACAUCCUUUGACAACUCUAGAGAUAGAGCUUCCCCCUUCGGGGGACAAAGUGACAGGUGGUGCAUGGUUGUCGUCAGCUCGCGUCGUGAGAUGUUGGGUUAAGUCCCGCAACGAGCGCAACCCUUAAGCUUAGUUGCCAUCAUUAAGUUGGGCACUCUAAGUUGACUGCCGGUGACAAACCGGAGGAAGGUGGGGAUGACGUCAAAUCAUCAUGCCCCUUAUGAUUUGGGCUACACACGUGCUACAAUGGACAAUACAAAGGGCAGCGAAACCGCGAGGUCAAGCAAAUCCCAUAAAGUUGUUCUCAGUUCGGAUUGUAGUCUGCAACUCGACUACAUGAAGCUGGAAUCGCUAGUAAUCGUAGAUCAGCAUGCUACGGUGAAUACGUUCCCGGGUCU